UACAUGACAAAUGAUCAGUCGCUCAAUUCAAAACUUAAGAGUGGUUGCGGAGGUAAGAGGAAGUGAAGCCAGUGAUCGGCCAGUUCAUGGAGACGGUGGACAAGAACAACGGCAUCGCCGGAUCCACCACCGAAUCCAACUACUAUGUACGAAUCAUCAGCAUGAUCAACCGCGAGCUGCUUAAACCUUAUGCCUCCGUACUGCUGCACCGCCACUCCUAUGCGCUCGUCGAAGUUGUCCCGUCGAAGGCUGAUUUCAGUAUUUCUCUCCUCAGUCAGUUCGAGAAGCCCGACGUCACUUAUAAUGUUUAAUUAAGGUUAAGUAUGAUAGAUGAUGUGGCGCAUGCAAAGUGGAAAGUAGAGGUGACUUGGCACCUAGGUGGAGGAGAGAGGACAAUAUAAAGCAAAAAGCACAUGAACUGAUGAAGGAUUGACCACUCAAGGACCCAUGGAGACUCCCCCAAGAAGAAUUACUAGAAGCAUGACUAAAGGGGAUGUUCUUUCUUCUAUGUCUCUUUCUUUAUUUUUCAUCUUAAUUUUGUGAUUUCCCUAAGUUGACUUAGUUGCCUUAAUUUUGGUUGACUUGUUGACCUUUGACUAGGGUUGACUCAUUAACUAAAAUUGAUUAAACUUAAGCCAACAUGCUAAUCCUUGUUUAAGUUGUUUUGUAGGUUAUUUUAGUAGAAGGAAGCAUGAUAGGUGGCGCAUGGUGAUUGGGGAGCAUGAUUUGGAGACCACUUUUGUCUCUUUCUCCACCCUUUGGCCGAGAAUCCACAUGGGAAGACACACCACCAUUUCAUUUUGUGCCUAGCUUGAAGAUGCUUCUACAAUUAGGGUUUUCCUUGAUUUUCUAGUUAGCCCUUUUCAUCUGUUGUUUUUUGUUUGGAGAUCCCCAAGACUCUCUAUUUAAGGGGAGCUCUACCAAUUGUAAAAGGGUUGAACAUUUUGAAUCAAAACAUUCUUGUUUCAACCACCAUUUUCGUGAGCUAGCCCUCCUUCUAGGAGUGGAAGAACUCUUUGCCUUAUCUUGCUUAUGCAAGUGGCGACACCAUAUCAUUCAUCUAUAGAGCUUGGUUUGGCUUUGCCCCCUCUAAGAGUGGCGUGCUCCACUUCCAUAACCAUUACUCUCUUCUCUUCCAUUUUGUUUUUGUUCUUCUUUGUUUCCAUUGCAUUUUCGUUUUGUGUUUCCAUCCAUGUAUUUCGUUUUAAAAUGCAAUCCAUCUCCUUCUUCCUUUGAGCUCUUGGAAAUGAACCUUCACAUCUAGAUAGCUUGCUAUCUUAAUGUUCAGUGGAAAUUUCCUUGAGUUUUCUUAAACAACUCAACACCAUAUUCAAUAAUCUUAAAAGGAAACAAGAUAAUCCUUCAUCAUGAACCUUGUACCACCUUUGUACCACUUUUCUCUUUUGUCUUUAGCACCUUUUGGCCUUUUGUGAGACAUUUGAGACACAUUUUAUGGAGGCCUUUAAGGCUUGGACGAAAAUCACAUUGCACACACCAUAGUUAGUCCAUUUGUCUCUCAUUUUGUAACCUAAUUUGACUUAGUUUCUAGAAGCUAGAAUUAGGAUUUUGUAGAGACAUACUUAUGUAUCUUUUAUUUGCUUAGAAACCCCUAAACUCUUCUAUAUAAGGGAUGUUCCUAGGCUUGUAAAAGGACUUGUAAAAGGGUUGAUCAAAAUUGAGUAAAACUUAUAUUGUUUCAACCACAAAACCAUGAGCUCUCCUCUAAGGAGUGGAGACUCUUCCUUUGUCUUAUCUUGCAUAGCAAGUGGUGACCUCCUUAAUCAUCUCUAGGGUUGGUUAGCCUUUUGGCUCCCCUAUGUGUGUCAUGUUUCCCCUUCACCAUUUUCAUUUUCUAUUGCUUCCACUUCCAUUUUGUUGUUGUUUUCCUCUAUUUCAAUUCGGUUUUCUUGAUAUAAUGCUCAUUUUCUUUUGUUUCUUGGUUGAAAUCAUCACUCUCCUCUAGAAUCUCUAGAAGUGAACCUUCACAUCUAAAUAAUUUGUUAUCUUAUUAGUGGGAUCUUGUCUAGGUUUUCUUAAGAAAUCUAACACCACAUUUCAUAAAAUCUAAAACGAACUACAUCACGUUGUGUCAUGAAGACAACCAACUACUGGACCUGCACUUCUAGCACUGGCUAUGGUGGCGAGGCUUAUAACUAUCAUGCGCACACACUUAGAAAGAAUGCAUAUUGAAAAUGCAGAGAAGAAGAGAAAGAAUAAAUGAAAGACUGAAGAUGCUACAAAGCCUUGUCCCGAACGGAAUCUAAGGUAGAUUUCUCAAUCAAUAUCUAACUACUGCCUAAGUCAAACAAGUGGUUGACUUAAGAUGCUGAAUUUUGCUUCCUCGUGAAUUGCAUGCUUGAGGAAGCCGUUCAAUAUGUGAAGUUUUUACAACUCCAAAUUAAGCUUCCGUGCUCUGAUGAUCUUUGAAUUGAUGAUCUUUGGAUGUACCCUCCUAUUGCUUACAAUGGAAUGAACUAGACCUCAAUUUUACCCCAACCAAAAAGCCAUAAGUAAAUUGCAUAGCAAUGAAAGGGUGAUGAUGCAACAGCAAUAUGGGAGCUUCCUUUUAUGACGUUUCGAUUAUAUUCAUAAGUAUGUAUUAACUGCCAUUUGAUCAUUAGGAAGUUUGAGAAUUUUCUGUUCAUAAAGCAAGAGAUUGAUAAAUUAAAGCGAACCUUGUGUAUUUUUUAACCAUGAGAAAUCAUUUUCGGUUGA
Vigna unguiculata (cowpea) is the source of this 2715-nucleotide long non-coding RNA. RefSeq lists it as uncharacterized. The record is from RefSeq and is a predicted model, not a curated record. Lineage: Eukaryota; Viridiplantae; Streptophyta; Magnoliopsida; Fabales; Fabaceae.